CCUACGGGAGGCAGCAGUGGGGAAUAUUGGGCAAUGGGCGCAAGCCUGACCCAGCAACGCCGCGUGAAGGAAGAAGGCUUUCGGGUUGUAAACUUCUUUGCUCAGGGACGAGGAGAGUGACGUUACCUGAAGAAUAGGCCACGCCUAACUACUUCCCAGCGGCCGCGUUAAUACGUAGGUGGCAGGCGUUUUCCGGAUUUAUGGGGGUAAAGGGGCGUUUAGGCGGGAGCGCAAGUCAGAUGUGAAAACUCAGGGCUCAACCCUGAGCCUGCAUUUGAAACUGUGUUUCUUGAGUGCUGGAGAGGCAAUCGGAAUUCCGUGUGUAGCGGUGAAAUGCGUAGAUAUAAGGAGGAACACCAGUGGCGAAGGCGGAUUGCUGGACAGCAACUGACGCUGAGGCGCGAAAGCGUGGGGAGCAAACAGGAUUAGAUACCCGUGUAGUC
Molecule: ribosomal RNA, 443 nt
Filed under: uncultured bacterium
Lineage: Bacteria
Description: partial 16S ribosomal RNA
Rfam family: Bacterial small subunit ribosomal RNA
Source: RNAcentral